This 1283-nucleotide ribosomal RNA is filed under the name Lactiplantibacillus plantarum. RNAcentral's name for it is "bacterial SSU rRNA". It matches the Rfam family "Bacterial small subunit ribosomal RNA", at positions 86 to 1356 of the family's 1533-position model. Lineage: Bacteria; Bacillati; Bacillota; Bacilli; Lactobacillales; Lactobacillaceae. The record is from RNAcentral.
UUUGAGUGAGUGGCGAACUGGUGAGUAACACGUGGGAAACCUGCCCAGAAGCGGGGGAUAACACCUGGAAACAGAUGCUAAUACCGCAUAACAACUUGGACCGCAUGGUCCGAGCUUGAAAGAUGGCUUCGGCUAUCACUUUUGGAUGGUCCCGCGGCGUAUUAGCUAGAUGGUGGGGUAACGGCUCACCAUGGCAAUGAUACGUAGCCGACCUGAGAGGGUAAUCGGCCACAUUGGGACUGAGACACGGCCCAAACUCCUACGGGAGGCAGCAGUAGGGAAUCUUCCACAAUGGACGAAAGUCUGAUGGAGCAACGCCGCGUGAGUGAAGAAGGGUUUCGGCUCGUAAAACUCUGUUGUUAAAGAAGAACAUAUCUGAGAGUAACUGUUCAGGUAUUGACGGUAUUUAACCAGAAAGCCACGGCUAACUACGUGCCAGCAGCCGCGGUAAUACGUAGGUGGCAAGCGUUGUCCGGAUUUAUUGGGCGUAAAGCGAGCGCAGGCGGUUUUUUAAGUCUGAUGUGAAAGCCUUCGGCUCAACCGAAGAAGUGCAUCGGAAACUGGGAAACUUGAGUGCAGAAGAGGACAGUGGAACUCCAUGUGUAGCGGUGAAAUGCGUAGAUAUAUGGAAGAACACCAGUGGCGAAGGCGGCUGUCUGGUCUGUAACUGACGCUGAGGCUCGAAAGUAUGGGUAGCAAACAGGAUUAGAUACCCUGGUAGUCCAUACCGUAAACGAUGAAUGCUAAGUGUUGGAGGGUUUCCGCCCUUCAGUGCUGCAGCUAACGCAUUAAGCAUUCCGCCUGGGGAGUACGGCCGCAAGGCUGAAACUCAAAGGAAUUGACGGGGGCCCGCACAAGCGGUGGAGCAUGUGGUUUAAUUCGAAGCUACGCGAAGAACCUUACCAGGUCUUGACAUACUAUGCAAAUCUAAGAGAUUAGACGUUCCCUUCGGGGACAUGGAUACAGGUGGUGCAUGGUUGUCGUCAGCUCGUGUCGUGAGAUGUUGGGUUAAGUCCCGCAACGAGCGCAACCCUUAUUAUCAGUUGCCAGCAUUAAGUUGGGCACUCUGGUGAGACUGCCGGUGACAAACCGGAGGAAGGUGGGGAUGACGUCAAAUCAUCAUGCCCCUUAUGACCUGGGCUACACACGUGCUACAAUGGAUGGUACAACGAGUUGCGAACUCGCGAGAGUAAGCUAAUCUCUUAAAGCCAUUCUCAGUUCGGAUUGUAGGCUGCAACUCGCCUACAUGAAGUCGGAAUCGCUAGUAAUCGCGGAUCAGCAUG